CCUGUAGCUCAGUAGGAUAGAGCAACGGCCUUCUAAGCCGUGUGUCGGGGGUUCGAAUCCC
This 61-nucleotide transfer RNA is filed under the name bovine gut metagenome. It matches the Rfam family "tRNA", at positions 6 to 61 of the family's 71-position model. Rfam says of the family: Transfer RNA (tRNA) molecules are approximately 80 nucleotides in length. Their secondary structure includes four short double-helical elements and three loops (D, anti-codon, and T loops). The record is from RNAcentral.